AUUGAACGCUGGCGGCAGGCCUAACACAUGCCAGUCGAGCGGAUGAAGGGAGCUUGCUCCUGGAUUCAGCGGCGGACGGGUGAGUAAUGCCUAGGAAUCUGCCUGGUAGUGGGGGAUAACGUCCGGAAACGGGCGCUAAUACCGCAUACGUCCUGAGGGAGAAAGUGGGGGAUCUUCGGACCUCACGCUAUCAGAUGAGCCUAGGUCGGAUUAGCUAGUUGGUGGGGUAAAGGCCUACCAAGGCGACGAUCCGUAACUGGUCUGAGAGGAUGAUCAGUCACACUGGAACUGAGACACGGUCCAGACUCCUACGGAAGGCAGCAGUGGGGAAUAUUGGACAAUGGGCGAAAGCCUGAUCCAGCCAUGCCGCGUGGGUGAAGAAGGUCUUCGGAUUGUAAAGCACUUUAAGUUGGGAGGAAGGGUAGUAAGUUAAUACCUUGCUGUUUGGACGUUACCAACAGAAUAAGCACCGGCUAACUUCGU
This 483-nucleotide ribosomal RNA is filed under the name uncultured bacterium. RNAcentral's name for it is "partial 16S ribosomal RNA". It matches the Rfam family "Bacterial small subunit ribosomal RNA", at positions 30 to 506 of the family's 1533-position model. The record is from RNAcentral.